GGGCCCCUGUGAUGCCUAGCACUGGGCUCUGACUAUCUGAGGACAUAGUGCCCCCCAGGACCUUUGACACCUGGGGGUCUGAGGGGCCC
Octodon degus (degu) is the source of this 89-nucleotide small nucleolar RNA. Lineage: Eukaryota; Metazoa; Chordata; Mammalia; Rodentia; Octodontidae. The record is from Ensembl.